RNAcentral lists this ribosomal RNA (466 nucleotides) under uncultured bacterium. RNAcentral's name for it is "bacterial SSU rRNA". It matches the Rfam family "Bacterial small subunit ribosomal RNA", at positions 26 to 518 of the family's 1533-position model. The record is from RNAcentral.
AGGAUUAACGCUGGCGGCGUGCCUAAUACAUGCAAGUCGAAUGGUAGCAAUACCAUGGCGAACGGGUGAGUAACACGUAGGUAACCUGUCUUUAAGCCGAGGAUAACCAUUGGAAACGAUGGAUAAUACUGGAUAGGACAUUUGAAGGCAUCUUUAAAUGUUUAAAGAUUUAUCACUUAGAGAGGGGCCUGCGGCGCAUUAGCUAGUUGGUGAGGUGAAGGCUUACCAAGGCGAUGAUGCGUAGCCGGACUGAGAGGUUGAACGGCCACAAUGGAACUGAGAACGGUCCAUACUCCUACGGGAGGCAGCAGUAGGGAAUUUUCGGCAAUGGGCGGAAGCCUGAACCCGAGCAACGCCGCGUGAACGAAGAAGUAUUUCGGUAUGUAAAGUUCUUUUAUUAGGGACGAAAAGACAGAUUGACGGUACCUAAUGAAUAAGCUCCGGCUAACUACGUGCCAGCAGCGGC